RNAcentral lists this transfer RNA (91 nucleotides) under Beijerinckiaceae bacterium RH AL1. RNAcentral's name for it is "tRNA-Gly(gcc)". Lineage: Bacteria; Pseudomonadati; Pseudomonadota; Alphaproteobacteria; Hyphomicrobiales; Beijerinckiaceae. The record is from RNAcentral. RNAcentral also lists the same sequence under 2 other names.
UCGUCGGUGUCGCGGGCGACGACGAGCCGCUUGCCCUGCGGCGUCGAGCAGGCGACGGCGCGGCUCGGGUUCGGCAUCGGGUCGGGCGGGC